UAAAGUCCCCUUCAGAGUUGAAUCAUCUGAAGGGACAUCAGUGCAAAUCAAGGGCAUAGGCAUAUGAAUCAGAUUAUCCUGUCUGGAAUCAUGCAAUCAAGGCUGUGUGACUUUGAGCACAUUACCAAAUCUCUCUGAGCCUUUUUUCAACCCAAUUGUAAGGUAAAUGUAAUACCUACCUCAUUGUUUGCUCGCUGCCCUGCAAGGGGGUGAGACAGGGAAUGAAGCCCUUUCUCAGACUCAACAUUUUAGUCAUCUGCCCUCUAAUCCUUUCCUUUUGCCUGCUUGUCAAACCUGUAUCUCCUUUGGUAAAAAGUCAGAGCACACAACACGGGGUCCAGAUCAAGAGGAAGCAAAACGCUGCCCAGAUUCUGAGAAACCUGGAGAAAAUCAGCCUUCGGAGUUUCAACACACACGUUGUCCUGUUUGAUUUUGUUCUUUGUUUUUUAUCCUCUUAAGGACAGAUACAUGUUGAAGUCUAUGGUGUUCUGUCAUCUCAUUCUCUUUACCAGAAUAGGUGUGCCCAGGCAGAAAAAAAAGGGUAUUCAAAUGUUGCUGGCAUGUGUGGAUUCACAGCUGGUGGCUCUGAGGAAGUCUGGGAGUUCCAUAAAUCCAUUCAAAUCCUUUUAGAUUUG
Long non-coding RNA from Sapajus apella (tufted capuchin), 635 nucleotides. RefSeq lists it as uncharacterized. NCBI's taxonomy places the organism in Eukaryota, Metazoa, Chordata, Mammalia, Primates, Cebidae. The record is from RefSeq and is a predicted model, not a curated record. The transcript is spliced from 2 exons.